RNAcentral lists this ribosomal RNA (253 nucleotides) under uncultured bacterium. Its description in RNAcentral is "partial 16S ribosomal RNA". It matches the Rfam family "Bacterial small subunit ribosomal RNA", at positions 524 to 776 of the family's 1533-position model. The record is from RNAcentral.
UACGGAAGGGGCGAGCGUUGUUCGGAAUCAUUGGGCGUAAAGGGCGCGUAGGUGGUUCUGUAUGUCUGCCGUGAAAGGGUACAGCUCAACUGUAGCUUGUCGGCAGAAACCGCAGGACUUGAGGCUGGGAGGGGCUGGUGGAAUUCCCUGUGUAGCGGUGAAAUGCGUAGAGAUGGGGGAGAACACUCGUGGCGAAGGCGGCCAGCUAGACCAGUUCUGACACUGAGGCGCGACAGCGUGGGGAGCAAACAGG